This 464-nucleotide ribosomal RNA is filed under the name Vreelandella stevensii. RNAcentral describes it as "partial 16S ribosomal RNA". It matches the Rfam family "Bacterial small subunit ribosomal RNA", at positions 338 to 795 of the family's 1533-position model. The record is from RNAcentral. Lineage: Bacteria; Pseudomonadati; Pseudomonadota; Gammaproteobacteria; Oceanospirillales; Halomonadaceae.
CCUACGGGGGGCAGCAGUGGGGAAUAUUGGACAAUGGGCGAAAGCCUGAUCCAGCCAUGCCGCGUGUGUGAAGAAGGCCUUCGGGUUGUAAAGCACUUUCAGUGGGGAAGAAGCCUUGGGGCUAAUACCCUCGAGGAAGGACAUCACCCACAGAAGAAGCACCGGCUAACUCCGUGCCAGCAGCCGCGGUAAUACGGAGGGUGCGAGCGUUAAUCGGAAUUACUGGGCGUAAAGCGCGCGUAGGCGGUCUGAUAAGCCGGUUGUGAAAGCCCCGGGCUCAACCUGGGAACGGCAUCCGGAACUGGCAGGCUAGAGUGCAGGAGAGGAAGGUAGAAUUCCCGGUGUAGCGGUGAAAUGCGUAGAGAUCGGGAGGAAUACCAGUGGCGAAGGCGGCCUUCUGGACUGACACUGACGCUGAGGUGCGAAAGCGUGGGUAGCAAACAGGAUUAGAUACCCGGGUAGUC